GGCCGGGUAGUUCAGUUGGUUAGAAUGCCAGCCUGUCACGCUGGAGGUCGACGGUUCGAACCCGUUCCCGGUCGCCA
This 77-nucleotide transfer RNA is filed under the name Mogibacterium timidum. RNAcentral's name for it is "tRNA-Asp(gtc)". It matches the Rfam family "tRNA". Rfam says of the family: Transfer RNA (tRNA) molecules are approximately 80 nucleotides in length. Their secondary structure includes four short double-helical elements and three loops (D, anti-codon, and T loops). Further hydrogen bonds mediate the characteristic L-shaped molecular structure. tRNAs have two regions of fundamental functional importance: the anti-codon, which is responsible for specific mRNA codon recognition, and the 3' end, to which the tRNAs corresponding amino acid is attached (by aminoacyl-tRNA synthetases). tRNAs cope with the degeneracy of the genetic code in two manners: having more than one tRNA (with a specific anti-codon) for a particular amino acid; and 'wobble' base-pairing, i.e. permitting non-standard base-pairing at the 3rd anti-codon position. Lineage: Bacteria; Bacillati; Bacillota; Clostridia; Peptostreptococcales; Anaerovoracaceae. The record is from RNAcentral. RNAcentral also lists the same sequence under 5 other names.